This 381-nucleotide ribosomal RNA is filed under the name Rothia dentocariosa. Its description in RNAcentral is "bacterial SSU rRNA". It matches the Rfam family "Bacterial small subunit ribosomal RNA", at positions 28 to 407 of the family's 1533-position model. The record is from RNAcentral. Lineage: Bacteria; Bacillati; Actinomycetota; Actinomycetes; Micrococcales; Micrococcaceae.
GACGAACGCUGGCGGCGUGCUUAACACAUGCAAGUCGAACGAUGAAGCCUAGCUUGCUAGGUGGAUUAGUGGCGAACGGGUGAGUAAUACGUGAGUGACCUACCUUUGACUCUGGGAUAAGCCUGGGAAACUGGGUCUAAUACCGGAUACGACCAAUCUCCGCAUGGGGUGUUGUGGAAAGCGUUAUGGAGUGGUUUUAGAUGGGCUCACGGCCUAUCAGCUUGUUGGUGAGGUAAUGGCUUACCAAGGCGACGACGGGUAGCCGGCCUGAGAGGGUGACCGGCCACACUGGGACUGAGACACGGCCCAGACUCCUACGGGAGGCAGCAGUGGGGAAUAUUGCACAAUGGCGCAAGCCUGAUGCAGCGACCCGCGUGAGGG